Capsella rubella is the source of this 87-nucleotide small nucleolar RNA. The record is from Rfam. Lineage: Eukaryota; Viridiplantae; Streptophyta; Magnoliopsida; Brassicales; Brassicaceae.
AAUGGGCAGAUGAUGAAAUCAUAUUUCAUGGGUAAUUUGCGUCUGAAUUUUUGUGAUGCUAACUUUUAUGAUUAUCUGAUGCCCUGC